This 1772-nucleotide long non-coding RNA is filed under the name Rattus norvegicus (Norway rat). Its description in RNAcentral is "long non-coding RNA NONRATT005041". The record is from RNAcentral. Lineage: Eukaryota; Metazoa; Chordata; Mammalia; Rodentia; Muridae.
UCUGACAGAGAGAGCCUCAGAUCGGCUGCAGCUGUUCUUGACCCGAUGACUUCUGGCUUCGUGGAAGGAGUUGUUUAUCGCCCGCGAGUUACGAACGCACCGUAGGCAGCUGGGAGAUGCGUUAAGCAGCAGGUCCGGUGUGGACAGUCACCCCUCGGAUCAGCUGAGAAUUCUGACCUUGGGUCAAACCAGUUUGUGUUUUGACCUCUUCCUUUCGAGUGUGUAUUUUAAUGACUUGAAAUUCCCCCCCUUGGGUUAUCUACGUCACUCUCUUUUGAUAGACAGAAAGAAGAAGGAAUAUCAGUGGCCUCCUUUUCGAGGACUGUGACUCAACCAUCACAGAACAGCAAGAAGCACAUCAGAUGCCACCCUCAAUGACUCCAAAAGACAACCCUAGGAACGGCUUCUAUGAAACAGAGCAACUCGUGUGGGGAUGGAUCUCGCCACCAGCCCCAGGAAGAUCUUUAUCACCCCUUUAAGCUUCCGGUAGUGCCAGACAAAUUUUGGUUUGUGACAGUGUCCCCUCCACUCUCUUUCUCGGGCACAUGCCUUCUCUUUGGUAAACUCACAUUUCCUGGGUUAUUUUGACCAGCCCUACUUCCCCAUGCUGAGUGGUUCACUAUUAAAAAUCACUUGUACAACACCAGCCUUCCCCACCAGACUAUCAUUCUGACAUGCGCAAGAUGCGUGCCUGUCUUUCUCCUGGACGCAAGUCCAGUGCCCAGUGCACAGCCUGCUGAGGAAUAGUCAUACGUCAGAUACUUACGGAAUGAAAAAAAAAAAGACAAUAGACACAAACCUUCACCAUUCCGUGAACACAAGAAGUCUGGUAAUAAGAAACAAGAAGAAGCAGAGGGCUGAAUGGAUGGCAGGCAAUCACCAGCUGGUUGUAAAGACAAAAGAGGCUGGGUUCUCUCACCCUUGGGAGGGGGCGAGCAGGGCAGAAGGGUUCUGGACACUCUUGUUCACCUAGCAACCUGACUUAAUGGGCAGAACUCCAAGGUUGGCUGCCUUGUCCCCACUUCACUGAUGUUUGAGUGUCCAAAUGGCCUGAGACCCACAAAGUCUAUAUGUAGCUGUGAUGUUUGCACCCAAGACCAUGUAGCUUCACAGAUGGGAGGCAAGACUCUGUAGACCCGGGCAAGGCUAUGCCCAACCUCAGUCAAGACUGCUGCUCGCUCCCCUUGGAUUGUAAAUGGGUUUUUGCUCACAGUCGGAAGAAUGAAGCACCCAGAUUGGAACUCGAGGCCCCCAGGGUCCAAGGGAGGAAGCACCUCUGACCUCACCUUUCCAGUGAGCUGGGGUAGCAGUCAGGGCUUGCAGAGAGGGCUAUUGCAGUUUCCUUUCUGUCCUCAAGUCUUCACCAUGCUCUCCCAGAUCAGCUUGUAGAGACACUAGCCAGACUGGCAGGGGUCCCGGAGAGGAGGGUACCAGCUGGAGCCUGCUUCAACAGCACAGCCAGAGUUGCGCACAGCAGGGCUGGGGCUGCCUGUCUUUCCUGGUUGCAGCCAGAGGCUGGCUGUCCCCAGUGGAUUCUUUCCAUUUGUAAUCCUAGUCUCUGUUCGCUUUGCCCAGACAUCCCACCCUCGGAGGACGGUGCCAUUGUGUGCCCCUGGUAUGGAAGAGUUGUAUUAGUCCUGGCUUGUAUUCCUUGUUGUAGAAACUUCUGGGGACACUGAUAGAGAGAUCCCUCACGCGAAGCUUUUGCUCCCAGCCCCCAUUUGUCAGUGUCUGAACAUAACCACUUAUGCACGACUAAAGAUGCUAACUGG